CUGAUCCCAGGAUGACUCUUACCCUCAAAAGGCAGGAAACUGGGAGCUUUUAAGGUGAAUUCUUUUAGUACUAAAAAAACUAUAGCUAAUUGUCUCUUCCUUUCUCAGGAACCUCCCUUUGAAAGGCCGUAUCUGCUUGAAAGUCAUUUUCCCAGGGUGCUAUAUGCAGCAAAGAUCAGGGAGAAAGACCCUGUUCCUGUCUCCCAAAUCUUGGU
Molecule: long non-coding RNA, 215 nt
Filed under: Homo sapiens (human)
Lineage: Eukaryota; Metazoa; Chordata; Mammalia; Primates; Hominidae
Description: non-protein coding lnc-SLC7A11-6:1
Source: RNAcentral